Molecule: non-coding RNA, 2054 nt
Organism: Physcomitrium patens
Lineage: Eukaryota; Viridiplantae; Streptophyta; Bryopsida; Funariales; Funariaceae
Source: RefSeq, a predicted model, not a curated record
CACGUGAUAGCUUUUCCAGUUGGAGAGGUGGGUGCAUGUGAUUAGGGUUUCGCUCUGCUGGCUGCCGCGUGGAGUCGUGAAAAUCCUACAUAUUGCCCACGCUGCCAUGGCUCUUAGCACAGUCACGCACUACUGUCGUCGGUGGGUGUGACGGAGUUGGGAGCUGGCGGGGAGGCGGUGGACUCUCGGAUAGCGUCGCAUCGGGGACUGAUGCGACGAUCUCCGUACAUCAUGCGGGGCCACCGUGGUCUGAGUGGUCGUAGCGAGUGGAAUUCGGUUUGGUGCGGGUUGUGAGUGUGGGGUUGAGGGUCGAGUUGUGCGGCCAAGGAUGUUUACCUCUACGGGCGUUGGUUGUGGGCGGUGCUGGGACCUUGUUUGACAAGGAGAACCUCCUCAGCAUGCCCUCUGCAUUUCUGUAACGCUACAAUGUAAACUGAGUCUUUCCAGUGGGUGGUACGGCGUUUCAAGUGUAGAGGUUUUUGUUUGUUCUGGUCUGAUCGCAGUGUGGUGAGAUGGCGAGGCCGUUGAUGAGGAUGAUACUCAGAGUUUGUGAUUUCUGUGAUGCUCAAGCUAUCAUCAUCUUACGACCGAGGCUCGAUGUGUGGGGGGGUGGGGGAGGAGGCAGGCUGGAUGAAGAUAGAAAACAUAGACCUGUUCUGAACGUGGUGUGUUGAAUAAACAUGCACUACCAACCGACAGUCUUGUUGGGAGACUUUUUGUGGGGUAGCUGGUUUGUGAGCAGUAGAGACGACGGGAGCAGUGUCCUUGGCGGGGCGCUGGUCCAGCAUUGCGGAGCGGCCGUGGCAUCCAUGCGAUGUCGUUGUGGCCGUAGAGUCCUUUUUUAACGUCGAAGAUCGACUCGUUCACGGGAGGAAGCCUGAGUGCAUUCGUGUGCAGAGGAUUCGCCAGUGAGCGCGAGGUCGCAUAUUCCAUUGCCCUGGGGAGCAGCGUCGCUGCAGUUACUCUGUGGGACAGACCAUGCGACCUGCAGCGAGGAUUUUGGUCUUGUAGCGUGGGGGGCGUGCGUAGUGAGGAGGUCGAUGAUUACAACCGUUCAGAAUACCAUAUUUCGGAUCGUAGGCACUUUCGGGUGGUGACGACACCGUUUUGCAUGAUGGCCUCGUGGACCGAAAGGGGUGUAAGGGGUUGGGUGGGGGAGAGUCAGUGCGUCCUGUACGAGAAGCAGAGGUCCGUGACGGCGCCCAUGAGCUGAUCUCUCGUCAGUUGCAGGGGGCGCUUUCGGGCUGCAUCAGAUCUCGAGGCUUUGGCGUUGACGAGCUAGGGGGAUUGCGGAGUUGGUGAUGCGAAUUAUUCACAAAUUGAUAGCACACGUUGAACUUGUGGAGGUAGCCUACAUCACUAAUCGGCACCGAUUUUGCGAUUUUUGUGUAUUCGGUUGAUCACGUGCUUGGUUCUAUGGAAUUUUUAAUCGGAGUGAAUUGACGUCUGUUGAAAAGCGGGGGGCAGCUACAUGAUGUGGUUUGAGAUAUAUACUUGUGUGUUUGAUAUUGGUAAAGGUUGAGCUAGGGAUAAUGUGUUCUCGAUGUUUAUUUUAUUGACCUAAUGUGCUAUCUGUUGAUUCGAUUGUUUGGGUAUAUUUUUAUUUUUCUUACUCUAUGGUAUUAUUACUCUUGAUGCAAUAAUUAGAAAAGUAUUUACAUGGCAUUCUGAUAUGUGCGACUGAAAAUGACAGGAUGGUAGAUUUAGCAUUUUUGUGGAUGUUAGAGUUAAUCCUUCGAUUUGUUAGUUGGGCAUAAAAAUGUCUUCAUAAUGAUAAUAUAUCUUUCAUUGUUUUGAUUUUGUUUUUCUAGUUUCAGUUGUUGAAAUGUGUUUUUUCUCAAAGGCUCCAUUGUCUUCUAUAUAUUGUAGUAUUAUGCUACUUUGAGAUAGUGAAAAAUUAUCAACAUAGCUUUUAGUGUGCCAUGGCAAAGUACGUAUAUCUUGUUUUAACUAUUUUAGGAAUAGUUUAGAUUACUAUGAUUGAUAAAAUAAUCGUCAUGUUGGAACCUUGUUUUAAAGAGCUUCUAGGUAUAUUAUUUCUUUUUCGUUUUUAA